GGAAAGGACAUGAGGAUCCUUCUAGACAACUUUGAUGAACAGACAACUGAUGUGCUUGCCCACAGAAAGUCUACAGCUCUAUGGGGUCUACCGUUCUUUGAUGGAGAAGCCGGACGGCUUUCUGAAGAAAUAUCUGACCCGGAGGAAUUUUGUGUCAAGGGAGUUGAACUUGGAAUACUCAGUUGUUGAAGAUGGCGUUGGGA
Molecule: long non-coding RNA, 203 nt
Organism: Anarrhichthys ocellatus (wolf-eel)
Lineage: Eukaryota; Metazoa; Chordata; Actinopteri; Perciformes; Anarhichadidae
Exons: 3
Source: RefSeq, a predicted model, not a curated record